RNAcentral lists this ribosomal RNA (468 nucleotides) under uncultured bacterium. Its description in RNAcentral is "partial 16S ribosomal RNA". It matches the Rfam family "Bacterial small subunit ribosomal RNA", at positions 28 to 507 of the family's 1533-position model. The record is from RNAcentral.
GACGAACGCUGGCGGCGUGCUUAACACAUGCAAGUCGAACGGAAAGGCCCUGCUUUUGUGGGGUGCUCGAGUGGCGAACGGGUGAGUAACACGUGAGUAACCUGCCCUUGACUUUGGGAUAACUUCAGGAAACUGGGGCUAAUACCGGAUAGGAUCUCCUGCUGCAUGGUGGGGGUUGGAAAGUUUCGGCGGUUGGGGAUGGACUCGCGGCUUAUCAGCUUGUUGGUGGGGUAGUGGCUUACCAAGGCUUUGACGGGUAGCCGGCCUGAGAGGGUGACCGGCGACAUGGGGACUGAGAUAGGGCCCAGACGCCAACGGGAGGCAGCAGUGGGGAAUAUUGCACAAUGGGCGGAAGCCUGAUGCAGCAACGCAGCGUGCGGGAUGACGGCCUUCGGGUUGUAAACCGCUUUCGCCUGUGACGAAGCGUGAGUGACGGUAAUGGGUAAAGAAGCACCGGCUAACUACGUG